RNAcentral lists this transfer RNA (66 nucleotides) under Hydrobasileus croceus. Its description in RNAcentral is "tRNA-Asp". The record is from RNAcentral. Lineage: Eukaryota; Metazoa; Arthropoda; Insecta; Odonata; Libellulidae.
AAGAAUUUAGUUAAAUUAAUAAUAUUAGUUUGUCAAACUAAAGUUACUAAAAAUUAGUAAUUCUUA